This 504-nucleotide ribosomal RNA is filed under the name uncultured bacterium. RNAcentral describes it as "partial 16S ribosomal RNA". It matches the Rfam family "Bacterial small subunit ribosomal RNA", at positions 29 to 523 of the family's 1533-position model. The record is from RNAcentral.
AUUGAACGCUGGCGGCAGGCCUAACACAUGCAAGUCGGACGGUAGCACAGAGAGCUUGCUCUUGGGUGACGAGUGGCGGACGGGUGAGUAAUGUCUGGGGAUCUGCCCGAUAGAGGGGGAUAACCACUGGAAACGGUGGCUAAUACCGCAUAACGUCGCAAGACCAAAGAGGGGGACCUUCGGGCCUCUACCUAUCGGAUGAACCCAGAUGGGAUUAGCUAGUAGGCGGGGUAAUGGCCCACCUAGGCGACGAUCCCUAGCUGGUCUGAGAGGAUGACCAGCCACACUGGAACUGAGACACGGUCCAGACUCCUACGGGAGGCAGCAGUGGGGAAUAUUGAACAAUGGGCGCAAGCCUGAUGCGGCCAUGCCGCGUGUAUGAAGAAGGCCUUCGGGUUGUAAAGUACUUUCAGCGGGGAGGAAGGCGGUGAGGUUAAUAACCUCACCGAUUGACGUUACCCGCAGAUGAAGCACCGGCUAACUCCGUGCCAGCAGCCGCCGUAA